RNAcentral lists this ribosomal RNA (141 nucleotides) under uncultured eukaryote. RNAcentral describes it as "partial 18S ribosomal RNA". It matches the Rfam family "Eukaryotic small subunit ribosomal RNA", at positions 1299 to 1458 of the family's 1831-position model. The record is from RNAcentral.
UGGUGGAUUGAUUUGUCUGGUUAAUUCCGUUAACGAACGAGACCCCUGCCUGCUAAAUAGGUACAUGAAUGAUUAUUCAUUUGUGAUAUCUUCUUAGAGGGACUUUUGUUGACUAAACAAAGGAAGUUGGGGGCAAUAACA